Molecule: ribosomal RNA, 486 nt
Filed under: uncultured bacterium
Lineage: Bacteria
Description: partial 16S ribosomal RNA
Rfam family: Bacterial small subunit ribosomal RNA
Source: RNAcentral
GUUGAACGCUGGCGGCAUGCCUUACACAUGCAAGUCGAACGGCAGCACGGGUGCUUGCACCUGGUGGCGAGUGGCGAACGGGUGAGUAAUACAUCGGAACAUGUCCUGUAGUGGGGGAUAGCCCGGCGAAAGCCGGAUUAAUACCGCAUACGAUCUACGGAUGAAAGCGGGGGACCUUCGGGCCUCGCGCUAUAGGGUUGGCCGAUGGCUGAUUAGCUAGUUGGUGGGGUAAAGGCCUACCAAGGCGACGAUCAGUAGCUGGUCUGAGAGGACGACCAGCCACACUGGGACUGAGACACGGCCCAGACUCCUACGGGAGGCAGCAGUGGGGAAUUUUGGACAAUGGGCGAAAGCCUGAUCCAGCAAUGCCGCGUGUGUGAAGAAGGCCUUCGGGUUGUAAAGCACUUUUGUCCGGAAAGAAAUCCUUGGCCCUAAUACGGUCGGGGGAUGACGGUACCGGAAGAAUAAGCACCGGCUAACUACGUG